This 445-nucleotide ribosomal RNA is filed under the name uncultured Flavobacterium sp. Its description in RNAcentral is "bacterial SSU rRNA". It matches the Rfam family "Bacterial small subunit ribosomal RNA", at positions 97 to 540 of the family's 1533-position model. Lineage: Bacteria; Pseudomonadati; Bacteroidota; Flavobacteriia; Flavobacteriales; Flavobacteriaceae. The record is from RNAcentral.
GGCGCACGGGUGCGUAACGCGUAUGCAAUCUACCUUUUACAGAGGGAUAGCCCAGAGAAAUUUGGAUUAAUACCUCAUAGUAUAAUUGAAUGGCAUCAUUUAAUUAUUAAAGUCACAACGGUAAAAGAUGAGCAUGCGUCCCAUUAGCUAGUUGGUAAGGUAACGGCUUACCAAGGCAACGAUGGGUAGGGGUCCUGAGAGGGAGAUCCCCCACACUGGUACUGAGACACGGACCAGACUCCUACGGGAGGCAGCAGUGAGGAAUAUUGGACAAUGGGCGCAAGCCUGAUCCAGCCAUGCCGCGUGCAGGAAGACGGUCCUAUGGAUUGUAAACUGCUUUUAUACAGGAAGAAACACUCCUACGUGUAGGAACUUGACGGUACUGUAAGAAUAAGGAUCGGCUAACUCCGUGCCAGCAGCCGCGGUAAUACGGAGGAUCCAAGCG